GUUGAACGCUGGCGGCAGGCCUAACACAUGCAAGUCGAACGGUAACAGGAAGCAGCUUGCUGCUUUGCUGACGAGUGGCGGACGGGUGAGUAAUGUCUGGGAAACUGCCNGAUGGAGGGGGAUAACUACUGGAAACGGUAGCUAAUACCGCAUAACGUCGCAAGACCAAAGAGGGGGACCUUAGGGCCUCUUGCCAUCGGAUGUGCCCAGAUGGGAUUAGCUAGUAGGUGGGGUAACGGCUCACCUAGGCGACGAUCCCUAGCUGGUCUGAGAGGAUGACCAGCCACACUGGAACUGAGACACGGUCCAGACUCCUACGGGAGGCAGCAGUGGGGAAUAUUGCACAAUGGGCGCAAGCCUGAUGCAGCCAUGCCGCGUGUAUGAAGAAGGCCUUCGGGUUGUAAAGUACUUUCAGCGGGGAGGAAGGGAGUAAAGUUAAUACCUUUGCUCAUUCACGUUACCCGCAGAAGAAGCACCGGCUAACUCCGUGCCAGCAGCCGCGGUAAUACGGAGGGUGCAAGCGUAAAUCGGAAUUACUGGGCGUAAAGCGCACGCAGGCGGUUUGUUAAGUCAGAUGUGAAAUCCCCGGGCUCAACCUGGGAACUGCAUCUGAUACUGGCAAGCUUGAGUCUCGUAGAGGGGGGNAGAAUUCCAGGUGUAGCGGUGAAAUGCGUAGAGAUCUGGAGGAAUACCGGUGGCGAAGGCGGCCCCCUGGACGAAGACUGACGCUCAGGUGCGAAAGCGUGGGGAGCAAACAGGAUUAGAUACCCUGGUAGUCCACGCCGUAAACGAUGUCGACUUGGAGGUUGUGCCCUUGAGGCGUGGCUUCCGGAGCUAACGCGUUAAGUCGACCGCCUGGGGAGUACGGCCGCAAGGUUAAAACUCAAAUGAAUUGACGGGGGCCCGCACAAGCGGUGGAGCAUGUGGUUUAAUUCGAUGCAACGCGAAGAACCUUACCUCA
This 961-nucleotide ribosomal RNA is filed under the name Escherichia coli. Its description in RNAcentral is "bacterial SSU rRNA". It matches the Rfam family "Bacterial small subunit ribosomal RNA", at positions 28 to 978 of the family's 1533-position model. The record is from RNAcentral. Lineage: Bacteria; Pseudomonadati; Pseudomonadota; Gammaproteobacteria; Enterobacterales; Enterobacteriaceae.